This 465-nucleotide ribosomal RNA is filed under the name uncultured bacterium. RNAcentral describes it as "partial 16S ribosomal RNA". It matches the Rfam family "Bacterial small subunit ribosomal RNA", at positions 28 to 507 of the family's 1533-position model. The record is from RNAcentral.
GACGAACGCUGGCGGCGUGCUUAACACAUGCCAGUCGAACGGAAAGGCCCUGCUUGCAGGGUACUCGAGUGGCGAACGGGUGAGUAACACGUGGGUGAUCUGCCCUGCACUUCGGGAUAAGCCUGGGAAACUGGGUCUAAUACCGGAUAGGAGCCAUUUUUAGUGUGAUGGUUGGAAAGUUUUUUCGGUGUAGGAUGAGCUCGCGGCCUAUCAGCUUGUUGGUGGGGUAAUGGCCUACCAAGGCGGCGACGGGUAGCCGGCCUGAGAGGGUGGACGGCCACAUUGGGACUGAGAUACGGCCCAGACUCCUAAGGGAGGCAGCAGGGGGGAAGAUUGCACAAUGGGCGCAAGCCUGAUGCAGCGACGCCGCGUGGGGGAUGACGGCCUUCGGGUUGGAAACUCCUUUCGCUAGGGACGAAGCUUUUUGUGACGGUACCUAGAUAAGAAGCACCGGCUAACUACGUG